AGUGAACGCUGGCGGUAGGCCUAACACAUGCAAGUCGAACGGCAGCACAGUAAGAGCUUGCUCUUACGGGUGGCGAGUGGCGGACGGGUGAGGAAUACAUCGGUAUCUACUUUUCGUGGGGGAUAACGCAGGGAAACUUACGCUAAUACCGCAUACGACCUACGGGUGAAAGCAGGGGAUCUUCGGACCUUGCGCGAUUGAAUGAGCCGAUGUCGGAUUAGCUAGUUGGCGGGGUAAAGGCCCACCAAGGCGACGAUCCGUAGCUGGUCUGAGAGGAUGAUCAGCCACACUGGAACUGAGACACGGUCCAGACUCCUACGGGAGGCAGCAGUGGGGAAUAUUGGACAAUGGGCGCAAGCCUGAUCCAGCCAUACCGCGUGGGUGAAGAAGGCCUUCGGGUUGUAGAGCCCUUUUGUUGGGAAAGAAAAGCAGCAGGUUAAUACCCCGCUGUUCUGACGGUACCCAAAGAAUAAGCACCGGCUAACUUCGUG
This 491-nucleotide ribosomal RNA is filed under the name uncultured bacterium. RNAcentral's name for it is "partial 16S ribosomal RNA". It matches the Rfam family "Bacterial small subunit ribosomal RNA", at positions 29 to 507 of the family's 1533-position model. The record is from RNAcentral.